UAUACAUGCAGUCGAGCGGACAGAUGGGAGCUUGCUCCCUGAUGUUAGCGGCGCACGGGUGAGUAACACGUGGGUAACCUGCCUGUAAGACUGGGAUAACUCCGGGAAACCGGGGCUAAUACCGGAUGCUUGUUUGAACCGCAUGGUUCAAACAUAAAAGGUGGCUUCGGCUACCACUUACAGAUGGACCCGCGGCGCAUUAGCUAGUUGGUGAGGUAACGGCUCACCAAGGCAACGAUGCGUAGCCGACCUGAGAGGGUGAUCGGCCACACUGGGACUGAGACACGGCCCAGACUCCUACGGGAGGCAGCAGUAGGGAAUCUUCCGCAAUGGACGAGAGUCUGACGGAGCAACGCCGCGUGAGUGAUGAAGGUUUUCGGAUCGUAGAGCUCUGUUGUUAGGGAAGAACAAGUACCGUUCGAAUAGGGCGGUACCUUGACGGUACCUAACCAGAAAGCCACGGCUAACUACGUGCCAGCAGCCGCGGUAAUACGUAUGUGGCAAGCGUUGUCCGGAAU
Molecule: ribosomal RNA, 518 nt
Filed under: Bacillus sp. CSu1_43
Lineage: Bacteria; Bacillati; Bacillota; Bacilli; Caryophanales; Bacillaceae
Description: bacterial SSU rRNA
Rfam family: Bacterial small subunit ribosomal RNA
Source: RNAcentral